GACGAACGCUGGCGGCGUGCUUAACACAUGCAAGUCGAACGGAAAGGCCCUGCUUUUGUGGGGUGCUCGAGUGGCGAACGGGUGAGUAACACGUGAGUAACCUGCCCUUGACUUUGGGAUAACUUCAGGAAACUGGGGCUAAUACCGGAUAGGAGCUCCUGCUCCAUGGGGGGGGUUGGAAAGUUUCGGCGGUUGGGGAUGGACUCGCGGCUUAUCAGCUUGUUGGUGGGGUAGGGGCUUACCAAGGCUUUGAAGGGUAGCCGGCCUGGGAGGGUGGACGGCCACAUUGGGACUGCGAUACGGCCCAGACUCCUACGGGAGGCAGCAGUGGGGAAUAUUGCACAAUGGGCGGAAGCCUGAUGCAGCAACGCCGCGUGCGGGAUGCCGGCCUUCGGGUGGUAAACCGCUUUCGCCUGUGACGAAGCGUGAGUGACGGUAAUGGGUAAAGAAGCACCGGCUAACUACGUG
Molecule: ribosomal RNA, 468 nt
Filed under: uncultured bacterium
Lineage: Bacteria
Description: partial 16S ribosomal RNA
Rfam family: Bacterial small subunit ribosomal RNA
Source: RNAcentral